AGGAAGAGGAAGAGGAAGAGGAAGCAGAAGAAGGACAAGAUGCUGAUGGAGGCAGGGGAGAAGAGGCUGAAGAUGAGUAUGUAGAAGGACAAAUAUUAGAAGAUGUGGAUGAAGAAGAAAGCUCACCCUCAAUGAAUUCUCCAUCCCCAUUCAGUUCAUGGAAUUACAGACAUCGUCAUGAAGUUGCUAAUGAUUCUGAACAGGUUCCAACUGCAACUUCCCCGCCACUUCUGCCAUCUGAAGCUUCCAAUCAGUAUAGUGGACACCUCUCCUCAAGAAAUACAUCAAUGGUGAGUUUUUUCAUUAUUCCUUUCAGAGAGUACCUAGUGUAGAGUUCCCAACUCUUUGACAUUUUUGGAUUCACAGGAACUGGAACUAAUUUACAAUUUAAGAGGCCAUAUGGAGCAACUUCAGCGUGAAAUGUCUGAGCUCAGAAGAUCGAUGCAGACAUGCAUGGAAGUGCAAGCCAAAUUGCUGAACUCUCUAAGGCAGGAAGUACAUCCAGGUGAACUAGGAGUAGAUUUCAAUCUUUUCCAGACAAUGACAAUAAACUAUGAAGUAUAUAUAAGCAAAUUAUGCCUGAAAUUGUUUUACAGUUCAAGAGGCAGCAAUGAAUUCAUUCGAUAUCGCAACAAAGAGACGCAGUUGCUGUAUCUGCUAUGAAAUGCAGGUCGACUCAUUUUUGUAUAGAUGUGGGCACAUGUGCACCUGUCUCAAAUGUGCUCAUGAGCUGCAAUGGAGUAGUGGAAAAUGUCCAAUGUGUCGAGCUCCAAUAAUGGAUGUUGUGCGUGCAUAUAUGGACUCAUAGAGUAUCAGCGAACGAGUCCUUGCUCCAGAGGACCGUCUUUCUUCCUACAACUCAACUCAGUUUAACCAUGAAAUGGAAAAAAAAAAAAUGACAAAUGAUUUUAUUUGUAUGCUUUCUUCACCUGAUUUGAUUACUAAUACCAUAUAGUUUUUGCACAUGCUAAGUAAUUUAUUACCAAAAAAAUAUGUUUCUCCUCUCCACAUAUACGCUUUAUAUGUUUUUUUUUGUAGGAGUAACAACAAUAACAAUCUCUAUCCACAGUUCAAUUUAUCGAUGCUUCAACUCUUCUAUGUUUCUGUAUGUAAUAGCUAUUGAAUGUUCUAACUAUAACAAGCUUCCGUAAACAUUAA
This 1158-nucleotide unclassified non-coding RNA is filed under the name Hevea brasiliensis (rubber tree). The record is from RNAcentral. Lineage: Eukaryota; Viridiplantae; Streptophyta; Magnoliopsida; Malpighiales; Euphorbiaceae.